RNAcentral lists this ribosomal RNA (218 nucleotides) under uncultured bacterium. RNAcentral's name for it is "partial 16S ribosomal RNA". It matches the Rfam family "Bacterial small subunit ribosomal RNA", at positions 122 to 334 of the family's 1533-position model. The record is from RNAcentral.
UAACUGCCUUGUAGCGGGGAGUAACUAUUGGAAACGAUAGCUAAUACCGCAUAACAAUGGAUGACACAUGUCAUUUAUUUUGUAAAGGGGCAAUUGCUCCACUACAAGAUGGACCUGCGUUGUAUUAGCUAGUAGGUGAGGUAACGGCUCACCUAGGCGACGAUACAUAGCCGACCUGAGAGGGUGAUCGGCCACACUGGGACUGAGACACGGCCCAG